This 427-nucleotide ribosomal RNA is filed under the name uncultured bacterium. Its description in RNAcentral is "partial 16S ribosomal RNA". It matches the Rfam family "Bacterial small subunit ribosomal RNA", at positions 355 to 774 of the family's 1533-position model. The record is from RNAcentral.
UGGGGAAUAUUGGACAAUGGGCGAAAGCCUGAUCCAGCCAUGCCGCGUGUGUGAAGAAGGUCUUCGGAUUGUAAAGCACUUUAAGUUGGGAGGAAGGGCAGUAAGCUAAUACCUUGCUGUUUUGACGUUACCGACAGAAUAAGCACCGGCUAACUCUGUGCCAGCAGCCGCGGUAAUACAGAGGGUGCAAGCGUUAAUCGGAAUUACUGGGCGUAAAGCGCGCGUAGGUGGUGUGUUAAGUUGGAUGUGAAAGCCCCGGGCUCAACCUGGGAACUGCAUCCAAAACUGGCAGGCUAGAGUACGGUAGAGGGUGGUGGAAUUUCCUGUGUAGCGGUGAAAUGCGUAGAUAUAGGAAGGAACACCAGUGGCGAAGGCGACCACCUGGACUGAUACUGACACUGAGGUGCGAAAGCGUGGGGAGCAAACA